This 505-nucleotide ribosomal RNA is filed under the name uncultured bacterium. Its description in RNAcentral is "partial 16S ribosomal RNA". It matches the Rfam family "Bacterial small subunit ribosomal RNA", at positions 28 to 507 of the family's 1533-position model. The record is from RNAcentral.
GACGAACGCUGGCGGCGUGCCUAAUACAUGCAAGUAGAACGCACAGUUUAUACCGUAGCUUGCUACACCAUACACUGUGAGUUGCGAACGGGUGAGUAACGCGUAGGUAACCUGCCUGGUAGCGGGGGAUAACUAUUGGAAACGAUAGCUAAUACCGCAUAAUAUUGAUUAUUGCAUGAUAAUUGAUUGAAAGAUGCUAUUGCAUCACUACCAGAUGGACCUGCGUUGUAUUAGCUAGUAGGUGAGGUAACGGCUCACCUAGGCGACGAUACAUAGCCGACCUGGGAGGGUGAUCGGCCACACUGGGACUGAGACACGGCCCAGACUCCUACGGGAGGCAGCAGUAGGGAAUCUGCGGCAAUGGACGAAAGUCUGACCGAGCAACGCCGCGUGAGUGAAGAAGGUUUUCGGAUCGUAAAGCUCUGUUGUAAGAGAAGAACGGGUGUGAGAGUGGAAAGUUCACACUGUGACGGUAUCUUACCAGAAAGGGACGGCUAACUACGUG